Molecule: transfer RNA, 83 nt
Filed under: Treponema sp.
Lineage: Bacteria; Pseudomonadati; Spirochaetota; Spirochaetia; Treponematales; Treponemataceae
Description: tRNA-Leu
Rfam family: tRNA
About the family: Transfer RNA (tRNA) molecules are approximately 80 nucleotides in length.
Source: RNAcentral
GCGGCGAUGGUGGAAUUUGGUAGACACGCCAGCUUGAGGUGCUGGUGCCGCAAGGUAUGGAAGUUCAAGUCUUCUUCGCCGCA